GAGGGUAUCGCUCACGUGGUAGAACGCAUGGUUAGCAUUCAUGAGGUCCUGGGUUCAAUCCCCAGUACGUCCU
Molecule: transfer RNA, 73 nt
Filed under: Camelus bactrianus (Bactrian camel)
Lineage: Eukaryota; Metazoa; Chordata; Mammalia; Artiodactyla; Camelidae
Also listed under: 1 other name
Rfam family: tRNA
About the family: Transfer RNA (tRNA) molecules are approximately 80 nucleotides in length. Their secondary structure includes four short double-helical elements and three loops (D, anti-codon, and T loops). Further hydrogen bonds mediate the characteristic L-shaped molecular structure. tRNAs have two regions of fundamental functional importance: the anti-codon, which is responsible for specific mRNA codon recognition, and the 3' end, to which the tRNAs corresponding amino acid is attached (by aminoacyl-tRNA synthetases). tRNAs cope with the degeneracy of the genetic code in two manners: having more than one tRNA (with a specific anti-codon) for a particular amino acid; and 'wobble' base-pairing, i.e. permitting non-standard base-pairing at the 3rd anti-codon position.
Source: Rfam by way of RNAcentral